Molecule: ribosomal RNA, 203 nt
Filed under: uncultured bacterium
Lineage: Bacteria
Description: partial 16S ribosomal RNA
Source: RNAcentral
GACGAACGCUGGCGGCGUGCUUAACACAUGCAGGUCGAGCGGUAAGGCCCUUUCGGGGUACGACGAGCGGCGAACGGGUAGGAGUAACAACGUGGGUGGACCUCGCCCUCCAGCUCUGGGAGUAAGACCUCGGGAAACGUAGGGUCGUAAUAACUGGGAGUAAUGACUCCACGGUGGCAUGUCGUGGGGUGGGAAAGACCUUG